ACUACUGGAAACGGUAGCUAAUACCGCAUAACGUCGCAAGACCAAAGAGGGGGACCUUCGGGCCUCUUGCCAUCGGAUGUGCCCAGAUGGGAUUAGCUAGUAGGUGGGGUAACGGCUCACCUAGGCGACGAUCCCUAGCUGGUCUGAGAGGAUGACCAGCCACACUGGAACUGAGACACGGUCCAGACUCCUACGGGAGGCAGCAGUGGGGAAUAUUGCACAAUGGGCGCAAGCCUGAUGCAGCCAUGCCGCGUGUAUGAAGAAGGCCUUCGGGUUGUAAAGUACUUUCAGCGGGGAGGAAGGCGAUGAGGUUAAUAACCCUGUCAAUUGACGUUACCCGCAGAAGAAGCACCGGCUAACUCCGUGCCAGCAGCCGCGGUAAUACGGAGGGUGCAAGCGUUAAUCGGAAUUACUGGGCGUAAAGCGCACGCAGGCGGUCUGUCAAGUCGGAUGUGAAAUCCCCGGGCUCAACCUGGGAACUGCAUUCGAAACUGGCAGGC
RNAcentral lists this ribosomal RNA (500 nucleotides) under Enterobacter cloacae. RNAcentral's name for it is "bacterial SSU rRNA". It matches the Rfam family "Bacterial small subunit ribosomal RNA", at positions 146 to 641 of the family's 1533-position model. Lineage: Bacteria; Pseudomonadati; Pseudomonadota; Gammaproteobacteria; Enterobacterales; Enterobacteriaceae. The record is from RNAcentral.